This 408-nucleotide ribosomal RNA is filed under the name uncultured bacterium. Its description in RNAcentral is "partial 16S ribosomal RNA". It matches the Rfam family "Bacterial small subunit ribosomal RNA", at positions 29 to 526 of the family's 1533-position model. The record is from RNAcentral.
AGUGAACGCUGGCGGCGUGCCUAACACAUGCAAGUCGAAGGAAGUGUCGCACGGGUGAGUAUUAUAUAGCUAAUCUGCCCCUUGCUGGGGGACAACAGACAGGAAUGACUGCUUAUACCCCAUAUCAAGGGAUGAGUCUAUAUCGUAUCAGCUAGUCGGUGGGGUAACGGCCUACCGAGGGUAUGACGUGUAACUGGUCUGUGAGGAUGAGCAGUCACAUUGGAAGUGAGACACGGUCCAAACUCAUGGGAGAGGGAGCAGUAGGGUAUAGUGCGCAAUGGGGGAGACUCAGACGGAGCAGCGGCGCGUAGAGGAUGACACUUUGCGGGGCAUAAACUGCUUUUGUUAGGGAAGCGGUACCUAACGAAUAAGCACCGGCUAACUCCGUGCCAGCAGCCGCGGUAAUAC